Molecule: ribosomal RNA, 451 nt
Filed under: uncultured Fibrobacter sp.
Lineage: Bacteria; Pseudomonadati; Fibrobacterota; Fibrobacteria; Fibrobacterales; Fibrobacteraceae
Description: partial 16S ribosomal RNA
Rfam family: Bacterial small subunit ribosomal RNA
Source: RNAcentral
ACGGAAGGCAGCAGUAGGGAAUAUUGCACAAUGGGGGAAACCCUGAUGCAGUAACGCCACGUGUGGGAAGAAGCAUUUCGGUGUGUAAACCACUGUCGUGAGGGAAUAAGGCAUUGUUUCGGCGAUGUUGAGUGUACCUCGAAAGGAAGCACCGGCAAACUUCGUGCCAGCAGCCGCGGUAAUACGAGGGGUGCAAGCGUUGUUCGGAAUCACUGGGCGUAAAGGGAGCGCAGGCGGAGAUGCAAGCGGACUGUACAAUCCCGGGGCCCAACCCCGGACCUGCAGUCCGGACUGCACCUCUUGGAUAGUUCAGGGGCAAGCGGAAUGCCUGGUGUAGCGGUGGAAUGCGUAGAGAUCAGGAAGAACACCGAUGGCGAAGGCAGCUUGCUGGGGACUUAUCGACGCUCAUGCUCGAAAGUGCGGGUAGCAAACAGGAUUAGAUACCCUGGUA